This 106-nucleotide microRNA precursor is filed under the name Nelumbo nucifera (sacred lotus). Lineage: Eukaryota; Viridiplantae; Streptophyta; Magnoliopsida; Proteales; Nelumbonaceae. The record is from RNAcentral.
AGAGUGUAAUGCAGCCAAGGAUGACUUGCCGGCGGCAACCGAUAGAUAGGUAUGCUCCCUAAUUGCAAGUCGUCGGCGGGUUGUCCUUGGCUACAUUUUGCUCUCU